AUAUUAUCGUACUAACUGGCCUUAUAAGUUGAGAACGUCAAGGUGUACUGUAUCUUGUGAAGAUGCAUCUGUUGCCAACGUUGUGCAUUUCUGGAACAAGGUUUUCUCCUCUGGUACGUAUAAUCUCAUGGCUGUUGGGAAUUCUGGACAUCGCUGUGUCCUGCUCCUUUCUUUUUCUCAUUGUUCCUCGCAGCUCCGCUCACAGGUACUCACUUUAUCAACUGGAUGGCAUGCUUGGGGUCUCCUUUUAUCAGCACUACAAAUGGCUUCAGGCGUAAUAAUUCAAUAGUUUGGAGCUUGAGAGACCACCAAGAAUUUAGUG
Lolium rigidum is the source of this 322-nucleotide long non-coding RNA. RefSeq lists it as uncharacterized. The transcript is spliced from 3 exons. Lineage: Eukaryota; Viridiplantae; Streptophyta; Magnoliopsida; Poales; Poaceae. The record is from RefSeq and is a predicted model, not a curated record.